CCUGAUCGAUGAGGAAAGGGAAUCCCAAGUCCUCCAAUCAUCUUUUGCCCUUUCAAAACCCCUGGGCUAGGUCACUACUAGCUAGCCUGUCACACAAAUUCAGACCAUGCCCA
Gavialis gangeticus (Gharial) is the source of this 113-nucleotide long non-coding RNA. RefSeq lists it as uncharacterized. The transcript is spliced from 3 exons. The record is from RefSeq and is a predicted model, not a curated record. NCBI's taxonomy places the organism in Eukaryota, Metazoa, Chordata, Crocodylia, Gavialidae.